Spodoptera litura is the source of this 659-nucleotide non-coding RNA. The record is from RefSeq and is a predicted model, not a curated record. NCBI's taxonomy places the organism in Eukaryota, Metazoa, Arthropoda, Insecta, Lepidoptera, Noctuidae.
GUGUCAUUACUUCUGGUCGUGGCGCUCGUGGAUCUAAUCCAUUGUACACCAACGGACCGCAAAGCUGAUUAUGUAAUAGACAAUAGCAGUUCUAAAGAUCCUGAAGAUAAACCUGUACCAAACUCAGUCACAGAGAAGGGGGAAGUGGCUGGGUCAGCCGCGGAAGUUGUCGAUCUCGAUGAUUCUGUACCCGUGAAAACAAACGAAGAAGCUAAGAGUCCCGUCGCAACUACGGAACCAAACACUGAAAAUACGAGCAGUCCAAAAUACCAUCCUAAACAACAGAAUCUUCCUCAACAGUCUCAACAGGAUUCCCGUCAGCAACCUAACCGUUAUCCCCAACCAGACCCUCAGUUAUACCCCCAACAAUACCCUCAGAUAUACCUUCAACAAAACCCUCAGUUAUACCCACAAAUCCCUGAUACAUACUUUGUAUACCCAGUAGCAUAUCCUCAACCAUACCUCCAGCAGUAUACUCCCGUUGUUGAAUACUCUCGACUGAAUCAAGCCCCUGGAAUUCCGAGUUACUCUGUUCUAGUGCUAUAAGCUGCCAUAGAACAAUAGAACUAAACAAUAAGGCAAAAAGUUUGAAUUUCUGUCGUCUUUGGUGUCUCCUAUUUACUUGGUGUUUUUGUUCAAUAAAUGUUUGAAACUUUAUA